CCGAGUGGCGGACGGGUGAGUAACGCGUGGGUAACCUGCCUCAUACAGGGGGAUAACGGUUAGAAAUGACUGCUAAUACCGCAUAAGCGCACAGUACCGCAUGGUACGGUGUGAAAAACUCCGGUGGUAUGAGAUGGACCCGCGUCUGAUUAGCUAGUUGGUGAGGUAACGGCCCACCAAGGCGACGAUCAGUAGCCGACCUGAGAGGGUGACCGGCCACAUUGGGACUGAGACACGGCCCAGACUCCUACGGGAGGCAGCAGUGGGGGAUAUUGCACAAUGGAGGAAACUCUGAUGCAGCGACGCCGCGUGAGUGAAGAAGUAUUUCGGUAUGUAAAGCUCUAUCAGCAGGGAAGAAAAUGACGGUACCUGACUAAGAAGCCCCGGCUAACUACGUGCCAGCAGCCGCGGUAAUACGUAGGGGGCAAGCGUUAUCCGGAUUUACUGGGUGUAAAGGGAGCGUAGACGGCGACGCAAGUCUGAAGUGAAAUACCCGGGCUCAACCUGGGAACUGCUUUGGAAACUGUGUUGCUAGAGUGCUGGAGAGGUAAGCGGAAUUCCUAGUGUAGCGGUGAAAUGCGUAGAUAUUAGGAAGAACACCAGUGGCGAAG
Molecule: ribosomal RNA, 611 nt
Filed under: uncultured Lachnospiraceae bacterium
Lineage: Bacteria; Bacillati; Bacillota; Clostridia; Lachnospirales; Lachnospiraceae
Description: bacterial SSU rRNA
Rfam family: Bacterial small subunit ribosomal RNA
Source: RNAcentral